GCCAGGCGUGGUGGUGUGCGCCUGUAAUCCCAGCUACUUGGGAGGCUGAGGCAAGAGAAUCACUUGAACCCAGGAGGUGGAGGUUGCAGUGAGCCGAGAUUACAUCACUGCACUCCAGCCUGGGCAACAGAGUGACACCCUGUCUCAA
Molecule: non-coding RNA, 148 nt
Filed under: Chlorocebus sabaeus (green monkey)
Lineage: Eukaryota; Metazoa; Chordata; Mammalia; Primates; Cercopithecidae
Source: Rfam by way of RNAcentral